GACGAACGCUGGCGGCGUGCUUGACACAUGCAAGUCGAACGGAAAGGCCCUGCUUUUGUGGGGUGCUCGAGUGGCGAACGGGUGAGUAACACGUGAGUAACCUGCCCUUGACUUUGGGAUAACUUCAGGAAACUGGGGCUAAUACCGGAUAGGAGCUCCUGCUGCAUGGUGGGGGUUGGAAAGUUUCGGCGGUUGGGGAUGGACUCGCGGCUUAUCAGCUUGUUGGUGGGGUAGUGGCUUACCAAGGCUUUGACGGGUAGCCGGCCUGAGAGGGUGACCGGCCACAUUGGGACUGAGAUACGGCCCAGACUCAUACGUGAGGCAGCAGUGGGAAAUAUUGCACAAUGGGCGGAAGCCUGAUGCAGCAACGCCGCGUGCGGGACGACGGCCUUCGGGUUGUAAACCGCUUUCGCUUGUGACGAAGCGUGAGUGACGGUAAUGGGUAAAGAAGCACCGGCUAACUACGUG
Molecule: ribosomal RNA, 468 nt
Filed under: uncultured bacterium
Lineage: Bacteria
Description: partial 16S ribosomal RNA
Rfam family: Bacterial small subunit ribosomal RNA
Source: RNAcentral